AAACUUUACAAUGCGGGAAACCGUGGUAAGGGGACACCGAGUGCUAGCAUCAUAUGCUGGCUGUCCAGGUGUACACCUGUAGCAAGGGCCGGCAAGACCGGUGCCAGCCGCCGCGGUAACACCGGCGGCCCGAGUGGUGAUCGUGAUUAUUGGGUCUAAAGGGUCCGUAGCCGGUUUGGUCAGUCCUCCGGGAAAUCUGAUAGCUCAACUAUUAGGUUUCGGGGAUACUGCCAGACUUGGAACCGGGAGAGGUAAGAGGUACUACGGGGGUAGGAGUGAAAUCUUGUAAUCCCUGUGGGACCACCUGUGGCGAAGGCGUCUUACCAGAACGGUUCGACGGUGAGGGACGAAAGCGGGGGGCACGAACCGGAUUAGAUACCCGGGUAGUCCUAGCCGUAAAGAUGCUCGCUAGGUGUCACAUGGUGCCG
This 428-nucleotide ribosomal RNA is filed under the name uncultured archaeon. RNAcentral describes it as "bacterial SSU rRNA". It matches the Rfam family "Archaeal small subunit ribosomal RNA", at positions 345 to 803 of the family's 1478-position model. The record is from RNAcentral.